AUCGAAUAACCAGUAUAACCAGACUUAAUUAGUGAUACAGUCUAAAUGGAAUUUAAUCUAUUAAUGUAAUCUUCAACAUUUCGAAAUAGAUCAACAGGAAGUCAAUGCAGUGCACUCAGGUAAGAAGUAGCAGAAUGGUGUUUUGCGUAGAACUAUUUGCUGCAGAUUAGACUAAUGAUUUAGAAUGGCAUUAUAGUAGUGAAGGCGAGAAAUUAAUAAUGCCACAUCUGGCUUUUAAAGCUGUCAACCAUGGUUUGAUCUGGCCUAAUCUACACAGCUGCAGAUAGACACCCUUGCAGUGCUGACUUAUGUGUGGGUAUAAAGACAUUGAGUCAGAGAAAAUCCAAGAUUAUGAACUACAUGGACAAAGGGAUGAAUGGUGAAUCUGUACUCUCCACUUUUGUAAUGUAUGAGUGCUAAUUUUAAUUACAUCUGAUUGUUAUCUGUUUUUUCAAACAUUGAAAGUAAUCUUUAAGAUAAUAAGCACUAUGGUAGUAAUUAAUAAGUAAUUAUACAUAAUAAUCAAUAAGAUUUAUUUUGUUUUAUUUUUCCUGACAACACGUUUAUCUAGAGUCGCCAUGUUCAUCCAUGCAUGCCCUUUUACACAAUAAAUUGAUUAAUAAAGUUGUUUUCAUUGUAGAAAAUGUAUUUGUUUUUAAUGUUUAAUAAAAUUCAGUUGUACAUUACAAAUUCUAGUGUUGAGGAAAUAAUUAUUUCAUAAUACUAUAUUGUUUUCCACCUAUUUAGAAUAUGUGAUGUGAUGCUUCUUACAUCUAUAUUUACACACAAACAUUUCUUUCAAUGACAACAUUUUUAUAGUAUUAAAAACAAACAAUAAAUAAAAUACCAAUUUUAUUUUGAUAUAGAGUGAAUCUUUGUAUAAAAAGAAAAACUUUAUUUAGGAUUUUAUCUAUCUUUGGCAGUUCAUGUUAGUGGAUUGGCUCUCUUCAUUGUUUAUAUUGAUCAGUGCUGUAACUUACAAAAAAUAUGUAUAAUUAUAGCCUAUGAAUAUAUAUCUUACAUGGAUCUUAAUUGAAACUAUAAACAUCAUAAAAUAUGUUGAUAAUACUUGGAAAUGAAAUGAUUUGAAUUUAACACCAGCAUACACUGGUCUCAAUAGGAAUACAUAUAAAAUAUACAUGCAUAUGAGUCACCACAUACAUAUGUGAUUAAAUGAGCAGUUCAUAUAAUCUCUCAACAGCAUAUCACAUUGGGUUCCACUUGAGCCAUAAACAUGUGAUUUAAAACAACCGUAUUAAUUUUUUACAAGAAUGAUCAUAAAAAAGAUGUCAAAUGCAUAUUACCUAAACCCAAAACUGUAGCUAGUUCUAACUACUUCAUUGUGAUAAUAUUCUUUAUAAACAUUUUUUUUUCACACUUUAAACCAUCAUUAUUAAUUCUAA
Biomphalaria glabrata is the source of this 1403-nucleotide long non-coding RNA. RefSeq lists it as uncharacterized. The transcript has 2 exons. The record is from RefSeq and is a predicted model, not a curated record. NCBI's taxonomy places the organism in Eukaryota, Metazoa, Mollusca, Gastropoda, Planorbidae.